RNAcentral lists this ribosomal RNA (253 nucleotides) under uncultured bacterium. RNAcentral describes it as "partial 16S ribosomal RNA". It matches the Rfam family "Bacterial small subunit ribosomal RNA", at positions 524 to 776 of the family's 1533-position model. The record is from RNAcentral.
UACGUAGGGUGCGAGCGUUAAUCGGAAUUACUGGGCGUAAAGCGUGCGCAGGCGGCGCGUUAAGACAGGUGUGAAAGCCCCGGGCUCAACCUGGGAAUGGCAUUGGAAACUGGCAGACUAGAGUGUGGCAGAGGGGGGUAGAAUUCCACGUGUAGCAGUGAAAUGCGUAGAGAUGUGGAGGAAUACCGAUGGCGAAGGCAGCCCCCUGGGCCAAUACUGACGCUCAUGCACGAAAGCGUGGGGAGCAAACAGG